RNAcentral lists this long non-coding RNA (583 nucleotides) under Equus caballus (horse). RNAcentral describes it as "lncRNA (ENSECAG00000030687.3)". Lineage: Eukaryota; Metazoa; Chordata; Mammalia; Perissodactyla; Equidae. The record is from RNAcentral.
GUACGGAAGCCCCAGAGAAUGGCUCUAAAUUGUUGGACCAUCCAUGAGGAUGCUGGUCCUCACAGUCAGGCUUCAGGAGAGAUCGUAUGAUGUCUUUUCCUUGUGCGUCCUCAUAUGCUGUUUUUGUAGUUUGUCUCCAGAUCCCACAUUUGUGGAUAGAGCCAGGCAAUUGCUUCUUAAUAUGAAGCAUGGAUUCAUAACCUCAUUUGACCAAACACCUGGAAUGUGAGUUUGGAUUGAGAAGACUCUGCUAGUGGAAGGGGCGAUCUUAGCAUGCAGGUCACUUCAAAGAAGGCCAGGCCCAUCUGGGGUAUCUGAACAAAAUCUUUUGGGAUAGCCAGAGAGUAAGAGGAUGGCUGAGGAAGAGAGAAAGUUGGCUCCAGAUGGUAAGUGACAGGUCCGUAUCACAAUAAUAUGCAAUUUCCUAAGGGUUCUGAGGGCAUUAACUUCCAAGAGAUGCAUACCCAGCAUCUGGCACAGAACCUCUAGUACUGCCUACCCAGCAUGUUUUCCUUGAUCCCUCUUCCUUACUAAUAAGGUGGUCUCACAGUAGAGACCAGUGAUGCCAGAUAUCUGAUUUCUC